Molecule: ribosomal RNA, 397 nt
Filed under: Acanthamoeba genotype T4
Lineage: Eukaryota; Discosea; Longamoebia; Acanthamoebidae
Description: SSU rRNA
Rfam family: Eukaryotic small subunit ribosomal RNA
Source: RNAcentral
GAAUACAUUAGCAUGGGAAAUGGAAUAGGACCCUGUCCUCCUAUUUUCAGUUGGUUUUGGCAGCGCGAGGACUAGGGUAAUGAUUAAUAGGGAUAGUUGGGGGCAUUAAUAUUUAAUUGUCAGAGGUGAAAUUCUUGGAUUUAUGAAAGAUUAACUUCUGCGAAAGCAUCUGCCAAGGAUGUUUUCAUUAAUCAAGAACGAAAGUUAGGGGAUCGAAGACGAUCAGAUACCGUCGUAGUCUUAACCAUAAACGAUGCCGACCAGCGAUUAGGAGACGUUGAAUACAAAACACCACCAUCGGCGCGGUCGUCCUUGGCGCGUUCGUGUUCACGCACGGGCGCGCGAGGGCGGCUUAGCCCGGUGGCACCGGUGAAUGAACUCCCUAGCAAGUUGGAAA